GUGCCAGCCGCCGCGGUAAUACGGAGGGUGCAAGCGUUGUUCGGAUUUACUGGGCGUAAAGCGCGAGCAGGUGGGCGAGCAAGUCCUGUGUGCAAUCUUUCGGCUCAACCGAAAAACUGCAUGGGAAACUACUCGUCUUGAGUGCGAGAGAGGAUGGCGGAAUUCCUGGUGUAGCGGUGAAAUGCGUAGAUAUCAGGAGGAACACCGGUGGCGAAGGCGGCCAUCUGGCUCGACACUGACGCUCAUUCGCGAAGGUCGGGGGAGCAAACAGGAUUAGAAACCCUCGUAGUCC
Molecule: ribosomal RNA, 292 nt
Filed under: uncultured bacterium
Lineage: Bacteria
Description: partial 16S ribosomal RNA
Rfam family: Bacterial small subunit ribosomal RNA
Source: RNAcentral